RNAcentral lists this ribosomal RNA (604 nucleotides) under Marginaster paucispinus. Its description in RNAcentral is "partial 16S ribosomal RNA". It matches the Rfam family "Bacterial large subunit ribosomal RNA", at positions 1812 to 2602 of the family's 2925-position model. Lineage: Eukaryota; Metazoa; Echinodermata; Asteroidea; Valvatida; Poraniidae. The record is from RNAcentral.
AACAUCGCUCUUUGAUAAAAAAGUUUUAUAUAUAAAGAGUCCUGCCUGCCCAGUGACAAGUUAAACGGCCGCGGUAUUUUGACCGUGCAAAGGUAGCAUAAUCAUUUGCCUCUUAAAUGGGGGCUGGUAUGAAUGGCAAGACGGGGGUUAAGCUGUCUCUUUUUUUUACCUUAAAAUUUAUUUCUUCGUGAAGAAGCGGAGAUAAGAUCGUAGGACGAGAAGACCCUAUUGAGCUUAAGUAUAAACAAAUAAUAAGUAUGGAUUAGUGCUAUUUGCUAAUUAUUACUAGUAGGUAAUAAAAAUUUACUUUUGGGCAUGGUUAUAUUAUAUUAUUAUUAUUUUGAUUGGGGCAAUCACGGAGAAAAUUUACCCUCCGUUACAAAUAUUAAAAUUAAGAAGGUACCUCUUCUAAAUAUAAAGUCUUAUAUGUUAGUGAUCCACUAAGAAGUGAGCAAAGGAACAAGUUACCAUAGGGAUAACAGCGUAAUUUUUUUGGAGAGUUCAUAUUGAUAAAAAAGUUUGCGACCUCGAUGUUGGAUCGGGAUUUCCAGGAGAUGCAGCAGUUUCCAAGGGUUGGUCUGUUCGACCAUUAAAGUCCUACGUG